UUUCAUGGAGAGUUUGAUCCUGGCUCAGGACGAACGCUGGCGGCGUGCCUAAUACAUGCAAGUCGAGCGAAUCUUGAGGUGCUUGCACCUCUUGGUUAGCGGCGGACGGGUGAGUAACACGUGGGCAACCUGCCUGUAAGACUGGGAUAACAUCGGGAAACCGAUGCUAAUACCGGAUAAUCCUUUUCCUCUCAUGAGGGAAAGCUGAAAGUCGGCUUCUCGCUGACACUUACAGAUGGGCCCGCGGCGCAUUAGCUAGUUGGUGAGGU
This 269-nucleotide ribosomal RNA is filed under the name Bacillus sp. MRMR6. Its description in RNAcentral is "partial 16S ribosomal RNA". It matches the Rfam family "Bacterial small subunit ribosomal RNA", at positions 1 to 258 of the family's 1533-position model. The record is from RNAcentral. Lineage: Bacteria; Bacillati; Bacillota; Bacilli; Caryophanales; Bacillaceae.